UACGGGAGGCAGCAGUGGGGAAUAUUGCACAAUGGGCGCAAGCCUGAUGCAGCCAUGCCGCGUGUAUGAAGAAGGCCUUCGGGUUGUAAAGUACUUUCAGUCGUGAGGAAGGUGUUAAGGUUAAUAACCUUAGCAAUUGACGUUAGCGACAGAAGAAGCACCGGCUAACUCCGUGCCAGCAGCCGCGGUAAUACGGAGGGUUCGAGCGUUAAUCGGAAUUACUGGGCGUAAAGGGCACGCAGGCGGUUAAUUAAGUUGGAUGUGAAAUCCCCGGGCUUAACCUGGGAAUGGCAUUCAAGACUGGUUAGCUAGAGUCUUGUAGAGGGGGUAGAAUUCCAUGUGUAGCGGUGAAAUGCGUAGAGAUGUGGAGGAAUACCGGUGGCGAAGGCGGCCCCUGGACAAAGACUGACGCUCAUGUGCGAAAGCGUGGGGAGCAAACAGGGAUUAGAUACC
This 453-nucleotide ribosomal RNA is filed under the name uncultured bacterium. RNAcentral's name for it is "bacterial SSU rRNA". It matches the Rfam family "Bacterial small subunit ribosomal RNA", at positions 340 to 786 of the family's 1533-position model. The record is from RNAcentral.